ACGCGCGUCGACCUAAGCUAGCGCAUGCGCCUGGAAACGGGCCCCGCUGCGGCGAGAGGUGCUGCUGGUCCUAAGGGUGUAUCUCCUGUAUGGAGGUUUUUCAGCUUGCGUAUCCUAUAGACGGAGGAAGGUCAGAAGCCGUGGGGUUGCGGUUAGGACUUGUGGACUCCUUGUGAAGAGCUGGAGUAGAGCGAGGCGAGCCAACUUGAAGAGGACCGCGGGGACGUUGGGGACCAGGGGAGGACGGCAAUGGUGGGAAUGAGGAGGAAGAGUCUGAGGUGGUAGCAUAGGACGACCCUGAACUCACCUUUUCCAUGGGCACACUGUAUCUGUACCUAUACAGAGAAGAAUUCUUCCUGAAGAGGUACUGAGGGCUGAUUGAACAGCUGCUGCACAACAAAGGAUGACACAGCAAAUGGAGACACAGUAAUGAUGGGAAACCCACCCCUGAGGCUAUGAACUAUGAUAGUGAGAGAUAGCAUGGAGGGACCCAUGUGUAGAUUUGCCUGAUCUGGGGCAUAGCAAAAAAAAAAAAAAAAAAAAAAAAAGGGCAACUAGACUGUAAGUAAGGAAACCCAUUUA
This is a long non-coding RNA of Acinonyx jubatus (cheetah), 582 nucleotides long. RefSeq lists it as uncharacterized. NCBI's taxonomy places the organism in Eukaryota, Metazoa, Chordata, Mammalia, Carnivora, Felidae. The transcript has 2 exons. The record is from RefSeq and is a predicted model, not a curated record.